This 1502-nucleotide ribosomal RNA is filed under the name uncultured prokaryote. RNAcentral describes it as "partial 16S ribosomal RNA". It matches the Rfam family "Bacterial small subunit ribosomal RNA". The record is from RNAcentral.
AGAGUUUGAUCAUGGCUCAGAUUGAACGCUGGCGGCAUGCCUAACACAUGCAAGUCGAACGGUAACAGAACUAGCUUGCUAGUUGCUGACGAGUGGCGGACGGGGGAGUAAUGUAUAGGAACUUGCCUAAUAGUGGGGGACAACUUAUGGAAACGUAAGCUAAUACCGCAUACGCUCUACGGAGGAAAGCAGGGGAUCUUCGGACCUUGCGCUAUUAGAUAAGCCUGCGUGGGAUUAGCUAGUUGGUGAGGUAAAGGCUCACCAAGGCGACGAUCUCUAGCUGGUCUGAGAGGAUGAUCAGCCACACUGGAACUGAGACACGGUCCAGACUCCUACGGGAGGCAGCAGUGGGGAAUAUUGCACAAUGGGCGCAAGCCUGAUGCAGCCAUGCCGCGUGUGUGAAGAAGGCAUUCGGGUUGUAAAGCACUUUCAGUUGGGACGAAGCGAAAGUGACGGUACCUCCAGAAGAAGCCCCGGCCAACUACGUGCCAGCAGCCGCGGUAAUACGUAGGGGGCGAGCGUUGUCCGGAUUUAUUGGGCGUAAAGAGCUCGUAGGCGGCUCAGCAAGUCGGCCGUGAAAACCUGAGGCUCAACCUCAGGACGCCGGUCGAAACUGCUGUGGCUAGGGUUCGGUAGAGGAGAGUGGAAUUCCCGGUGUAGCGGUGAAAUGCGCAGAUAUCGGGAGGAACACCAGUAGCGAAGGCGGCUCUCUGGGCCGAUACCGACGCUGAGGAGCGAAAGCUAGGGGAGCGAACAGGAUUAGAUACCCUGGUAGUCCUAGCUGUAAACGUUGGGCACUAGGUGUGGCGGACUCAUUGACGUCUGCCGUGCCGAAGCUAACGCAUUAAGUGCCCCGCCUGGGGAGUACGGUCGCAAGGCUAAAACUCAAAGGAAUUGACGGGAGCCCGCACAAGCGGCGGAGCAUGCGGCUUAAUUCGAUUGUACCCGAAGAACCUUACCUGGACUUGACAUAAUGGGAAAAACCCUAGAGAUAGGGUGUGCGUAAGCGUCCAUUACAGGUGGUGCAUGGCUGUCGUCAGCUCGUGUCGUGAGAUGUUGGGUUAAGUCCCGCAACGAGCGCAACCCCUGUCCUAUGUUGCCAGCGGAUAAUGCCGGGGACUCAUGGGAGACUGCCGGGGACAACUCGGAGGAAGGCGGGGACGACGUCAAGUCAUCAUGCCCCUUAUGUCCAGGGCUGCACGCAUGCUACAAUGGCAGGUACAACGGGCAGCGAUCCCGCGAGGGUGAGCGAAUCCUAAAAGCCUGUCUCAGUUCGGAUCGGAGUCUGCAACUCGACUCCGUGAAGCCGGAGUCGCUAGUAAUCGCGAAUCAGCAAUGUCGCGGUGAAUACGUUCUCGGGCUUUGUACACACCGCCCGUCACAUCACGAAAGUUGGCAACACCCGAAGUCAGUGGCCCAACCGCAAGGAGGGAGCUGCCGAAGGUGGGGUCAGCGAUUGGGAUGAAGUCGUAACAAGGUAACCAAGUCGUAACAAGGUAACC